Long non-coding RNA from Wasmannia auropunctata (little fire ant), 413 nucleotides. RefSeq lists it as uncharacterized. The transcript is spliced from 3 exons. The record is from RefSeq and is a predicted model, not a curated record. NCBI's taxonomy places the organism in Eukaryota, Metazoa, Arthropoda, Insecta, Hymenoptera, Formicidae.
UCCGUGAAUUCCGUCCCUUCGGUCAGUUCGGUCCAUCUUUCAUUUUACGUCGAGGAGCUUUUCAUUGUGGUCGAUUCGAAAUCCGAAGUGAUCCAGCGUUUCCGAGACGAUCUAGAAUCGCGUGAGCGGCGAGAUGAGAGCUAAGUGGCGUAAGAAGAGGAUGCGCAGGCUAAAGCGCAAGAGGAGGAAGAUGCGCGCGAGGUCCAAAUAAAGCGGCUUCCCCGUUGAGAGCGUUCCACCCACAAUCUCUCCGUGGGGAGAAUGGACCUGCGAGACGUUUCACCGUUCGACGAACGCUCCUAGCUGAUUGAAAGUCUCGGCGAGACGGAUCUUCAAUGGACACAUUUUUCGCACUCGAGAGAAUUUUGUACAUGGAAAUCUUGUUUGGUUAAAUACAUCGACUACUCAAGAUA